CAAACGACUCUCGGCAACGGAUAUCUCGGCUCACGCAUCGAUGAAGAACGUAGCAAAAUGCGAUACUUGGUGUGAAUUGCAGAAUCCCGUGAACCAUCGAGUUUUUGAACGCAAGUUGCGCCCGAAGCCUUUUGGUUGAGGGC
Molecule: ribosomal RNA, 143 nt
Filed under: Brachyglottis sciadophila
Lineage: Eukaryota; Viridiplantae; Streptophyta; Magnoliopsida; Asterales; Asteraceae
Description: 5.8S ribosomal RNA
Rfam family: 5.8S ribosomal RNA
About the family: 5.8S ribosomal RNA (5.8S rRNA) is a component of the large subunit of the eukaryotic ribosome. It is transcribed by RNA polymerase I as part of the 45S precursor that also contains 18S and 28S rRNA.
Source: RNAcentral